AUGUCCUCCAUGUCACCCUCUCUCUGUGUGUGUGUGUCUGUCCGUCUGUGUGUCUUGCUGUCUCUCUCCUCAGGUGAAGUGUGGAGUGACAGGGCCCAGGGCUGCUCUUUCUUUCACCUUCUUGUCUCCAAAGUGCCAGGCGUUUCACGCAGGGUGAGAGACGUUACUGAGGUGUGUGUUAUUCUUGUUGUCGGCCUCCAGCCGGGAGCAGGAGUCAGCACAGCUAGUUACAUACACUGCGCCAUCAGCCUGUCAGUCAAGUCAGGAGUCGAAGAGUUACUGAGAGUUCAGUCCAUCUGUCUUCUCUCAAAUAAAGAGAGACUCCCUGCAAAUAUGUCUAAUCUUCCUUACCUCUCUUUCAUAACCAUCACUUUUCCCUCUCUCUGUGGGACAUGAUACGUUCGCUCCGUCAACUUGAGGCUUAUCGCUGUGUAUAAAGGGGUUCUGUGUUCUGUCAUAGAGGCAGGAGGCCAUAAACACAUAUGAGCUUCUCCCUCACUGUCAAGGAUUUCUGAGUUGUAAUUGGCUGAGAGCUGCACUGUCAGCUGAUUGGCCGGGCUGAGGAUGAAUGGCCACGCUGACAACCAAUGGGGCCAGAUGAGGGUGAGCCGGGUGAGAUAUGGGACACCGCAUUCUUGAGCGCUAAUCAAAUCUUAGAAAAUUUCAAUGAUGGGUAUGUGUUAUGUUUGUUGAUUUGCCUUCAUUAGUCUUUACAAUGAGUCCAUGUUCUUAUGCAUUUUGUGCAUGUGAUGAAUCAUGUUGAUAGACGUCUGUAUAAAUCCUCAAUGUGUAAGAGUUUUUUUUUGUUUUUGUUUUUUUGCCAGUGAGUGAAUCAGUUUGUAUCAAGAGUUCAUAUGCAGGUGGAACCAAAGACAGGCCUCAAAAGAUUCAAACACAUCUUGCAGCAAGCUAAUAAAGUUUAUACUGAAGAGGUUCUGGGAUCA
Molecule: long non-coding RNA, 944 nt
Organism: Cyprinus carpio (common carp)
Lineage: Eukaryota; Metazoa; Chordata; Actinopteri; Cypriniformes; Cyprinidae
Source: Ensembl